GGACGAAGAAGCUGUCAUAUUCCCAAAGUGGGAAACUGGAAUCACCUGAUUUGAAAGUGGGAUAACUUCUUCAUGCCAACUCCUAUGAGAUUUAUUCAACUUCCUGGUCAUUCUACACCACUUUAUGUAUCCAAAUCAAGCUUCUCACAAAGUGAUUCAUCCUGGUUUGAUUGGAACGAUGAUGAAGCUGUGCUAUUCCCAAACUGGGAGACUGGAAUCACCUGAUUUGAAAGUGGGAUAACUUCUUCUUGCUGACUCCUAUGAGAUUUAUUAAACUUCCUGGUGAUUCUCCACCACUUUAUGUAUCCAAAUCAAACUUCUCACAAAGUGAUUCAUCCUGGUUUGAUUGGAACGACGAUGAAGCUGUGCUAUUCCCAAACUGGGAAACUGGAAUCACCUGAUUAGAAAGUGCGAUAACUUCUUCAUCCCAACUCCUAUGAGAUUUAUUCAACUUCCUGGUGAUUCUCCACCACUUUAUGUAUCCAAAUCAAGCUUCUCACAAAGUGAUUCAUCCUGGUUUGAUUGGAACGACUAAGAAGCUGUUCUAUUCCCAAACUGGGAAAAUGGAAUCACCUGAUUUGAAAGUGGGAUAACUUCUUCUUGCCAGCUCGUAUGAGAUUUAUUCAACUUCCUGGUGAUUCUCCACCACGUUAUGUAUCCAAAUCAAACUUCUCACAAAGUGAUUCAUCCUGGUUUGAUUGGAACGACGAAGAAGCUGUUCUAUUCCCAAACUGGGAAACUGGAAUCACCUGAUUUGAAAGUGGGAUAACUUCUCCUUGCCAACUCCUAUGAGAUUUAUUCAACUUCCUGGUGAUUCUCCACCACUUUAUGUAUCCAAAUAAAGCUUCUCACAAAGUGAUUCAUCCUGGUUUGAUUGGAACGACAAAGAAGCUGUGCUAUUCCCAAACUGGGAAACUGGAAUCACCUGAUUUGAAAGUGGGAUAACUUCUUCAUCCCAACUCCUAUGAGAUUUAUUCAACUUCCUGGUGAUUCUCCACCACUUUAUGUAUCCAAAGCAAGGUUCUCACAAAGUGAUUCAUCCUGGUUUGAUUGGAACGACGAUGAACCUGUGCUAUUCCCAAAAUGGGAAACUGGAAUCACCUGAUUUGAAUGUGGGAUAACUUCUUCUUCCCAACUCCUAUGAGAUUUAUUCAACUUCCUGGUGAUUCUCCCCCACUUUAUGUAUCCCAAUCAAGCUUCUUACAAAGAUAUUCAUCCUGGUUUGAUUGGAACGACGAAGAAGCUGUCAUAUUCCCAAACUGGGAAACUGGAAUCACUUGAUUUGAAAGUUGGAUAACUUCUUCUUGCCAGCUCGUAUGAGAUUUAUUCAACUUCCUGGUUAUUCUCCACCACUUUAUGUAUCCAAAUCAAGCUUCACACAAAGUGAUUCAUCCUGGUUUGAUUGGAACGACGAAUAAGCUGUUCUAUUCCCAAACUGGGAAACUGGAAUCACCUGAUUUGAAAGUGGGAUAACUUCUUCUUGCCAACUCCUAUGAGAUUUAUUCAACUUCCUGGUGAUUCUCCACCACGUUAUGUAUCCAAAUCAAAUUUCUCACAAAGUGAUUCAUCCUGGUUUGAUUGGAACGACGAAGAAGCUGUUCUAUUCCCAAACUGGGAAAUUGGAAUCACAUGAUUUGAAAGUGGGAUAACUUCUUCUUCCCAACUCCUAUGAGAUUUAUUCACCUUCCUGGUGAUUCUCCACCACGUUAUGUAUCCACAUCAAACUUCUCACAAAGUGAUUCAUCCUGGGUUGAUUGGAACGACGAAGAAGCUGGUCUAUUCCCAAACUGGGAAAUUGGAAUCACAUGAUUUGAAAGUGGGAUAACUUCUUCUUCCCAACUCCUAUGAGAUUUAUUCACCUUCCUGGUGAUUCUCCACCACUUUAUGUAUCCAAAUCAGGCUUCUCACAAAUUGUUUAAUCCUGGUUUGAUUGGAACGACGAAGAAGCUGUGCUAUUCCCAAACUGGGAACUUGGAAUCACAUGAUUUGAAAGUGGGAUAACUUCUUCUUCCCAACUCCUAUGAGAUUUAUUCAACUUCCGGGUGAUUCUCCACCAUUUUAUGUAUCCAAAUCAAGCUUCUUACAAAGAGAUUCAUCCUGGUUUGAUUGGAACGACGAAGAAGCUGUGGUAUUCCCAAACUGGGAAGCUGGAAUCACGUGAUUUAAAAGUGGGAUAACUUCUUCUUCCCAACUCCUAUGAGAUUAAUUCAACUUCCUGGUGAUUCUCCACCAUUUUAUGUAUCCAAAUCAAGCUUCUUACAAAGAGAUUCAUCCUGGUAUGAUUGAAACGACGAAGAAGCUGUGCUAUUCCCAAACUGGGAAACUGGAAUCACCUGAUUUGAAAGUGGGAUAACUUCAUCAUCCCAACCCCUAUGAGAUUUAUUCAACUUCCUGGUGAUUCUCCACCACUUUAUGUAUCCAAAUCAAGCUUCUCACAAAGUGAUUCAUCCUGGUUUGAUUGGAACGACGAAGAAGCUGUGCUAUUCUCAACCUGGGAAACUGGAAUCACAUGAUUUGAAAGUGGGAUAACUUCUUCUUGCCAACUCCUAUGUGAUUUAUUCAACUACCUGGUGAUUCUCCACCACUUAAUGUAUCAAAAUCAAGCUUCUCACAAAGUGAUUCAUCCUGGUUUGAUUGGAACGACAACGAAGCUGUGCUAUUCCCAAACUGGGAAACUGGAAUCACAUGAUUUGAAAAUGGGAUAACUUCUUCUUCCCAACUCCUAUGAGAUUUAUUCAACUUCCUGGUGAUUCUACACCACUUUAUAUAUUCAAAUCAAGCUUCUUACAAAGAGAUUCAUCUUGGUUUGAUUGGAACGACGAAGAAGAUGUGGUAUUCCCAAACUGGGAAACUGGAAUCACCUGAUUUGAAAGUUGGAUAACUUUUUCUUCCCAACUCCUAUGAGAUUUAUUCAACUUCCUGGUGAUUCUCCACCACUUUAUGUAUCCAAAUCAAGCUUCUCACAAAGAGAUUCAUCCUGGUUUGAUUGGAACGACGAAGAAGCUGUGCUAUUCCCAAACUGAGAAACUGGAAUCACAUGAUUUGAAAGUGGGAUAACUUCUUCUUCCCAACUCCUAUGAGAUUUAUUCAACUUCCUGGUGAUUCU
Molecule: long non-coding RNA, 3106 nt
Filed under: Brassica napus (rape)
Lineage: Eukaryota; Viridiplantae; Streptophyta; Magnoliopsida; Brassicales; Brassicaceae
Description: long non-coding RNA (BNAP_LNC013425)
Source: RNAcentral